This 216-nucleotide non-coding RNA is filed under the name Fervidicella metallireducens. Its description in RNAcentral is "T-box sequence". It matches the Rfam family "T-box leader". From Rfam's summary of the family: Uncharged tRNA acts as the effector for transcription antitermination of genes in the T-box leader family. T-boxes are found upstream of many aminoacyl-tRNA synthetase genes and some amino acid biosynthetic genes usually in Gram-positive bacteria. The anticodon of a specific tRNA base pairs to a specifier sequence within the T-box motif, and the NCCA acceptor tail of the tRNA base pairs to a conserved bulge in the T-box antiterminator hairpin. The record is from RNAcentral. Lineage: Bacteria; Bacillati; Bacillota; Clostridia; Eubacteriales; Clostridiaceae.
UAAAAGACAAUGACAAGGAAUAGUAAAAGUACUCUCCUUUUCACAGAGAGGAGACCAUAUGCUGAAAGGUUUCUAAAGGAAUACUUUGAACCAGCCUUCGAGUCCUGCACUGAAAUAAUAGUAGGCUGCAGCGGAUUUUCCGUUACAAAUUACGAGUGAAUAUAUUAUUAUAUAUUAACUAGGGUGGUACCGCCGAUAAUAAGCUCGGUCCCUUUU